RNAcentral lists this microRNA precursor (102 nucleotides) under Marmota monax (woodchuck). The record is from RNAcentral. Lineage: Eukaryota; Metazoa; Chordata; Mammalia; Rodentia; Sciuridae.
AAUAAAAUUGCUGUGUCAUAUGGUAAUUCCAAGGUUAAACCUUGGAGGAACUGCCCGACUAUUUUCUAGAGUGGUUGUGCUAUUUAUAUUUUCACUAGCAGU